This 338-nucleotide ribosomal RNA is filed under the name uncultured bacterium. Its description in RNAcentral is "bacterial SSU rRNA". It matches the Rfam family "Bacterial small subunit ribosomal RNA", at positions 8 to 334 of the family's 1533-position model. The record is from RNAcentral.
AGGGUUUGAUUAUGGCUCAGGAUGAACGCUAGCUACAGGCUUAACACAUGCAAGUCGUGGGGCAGCAUGGGAGAUGCUUGCAUUUCCCGAUGGCGACCGGCGCACGGGUGAGUAACGCGUAUCCAACCUGCCCUUCACUCCGGCACAGCCCGUCGAAAGACGGAUUAAUGCGGGAUGCAGUCAGAAAGAUGCAUAUUAAUUUGACGAAAGGCUUUAUGCCGGUGAGGGAUGGGGAUGCGUCCGAUUAGCUUGACGGCGGGGUAACGGCCCACCGUGGCAACGAUCGGUAGGGGUUCUGAGAGGAAGGUCCCCCACAUUGGAACUGAGACACGGUCCAA